UACGUAGGUGGCAAGCGUUAUCCGGAUUUAUUGGGCGUAAAGGGAACGCAGGCGGUCUUUUAAGUCUGAUGUGAAAGCCUUCGGCUUAACCGGAGAACUGCAUUUGAAACUGUUGAUCUUGAGUACUGGAGAGGCAGACGGAAUUCCUAGUGUAGCGGUGAAAUGCGUAGAUAUUAGGAGGAACACCAGUGGCGAAGGCGGUCUGCUGGACAGCAACUGACGGUGAGGCGCGAAAGCGUGGGGAGCAAACAGG
RNAcentral lists this ribosomal RNA (253 nucleotides) under uncultured bacterium. RNAcentral describes it as "partial 16S ribosomal RNA". It matches the Rfam family "Bacterial small subunit ribosomal RNA", at positions 524 to 776 of the family's 1533-position model. The record is from RNAcentral.